This 432-nucleotide ribosomal RNA is filed under the name uncultured bacterium. RNAcentral's name for it is "partial 16S ribosomal RNA". It matches the Rfam family "Bacterial small subunit ribosomal RNA", at positions 29 to 506 of the family's 1533-position model. The record is from RNAcentral.
AACGAACGCUGGCGGCAUGCCUAACACAUGCAAGUCGAACGAGACCUUCGGGUCUAGUGGCGCACGGUUGCGUAACGCGUGGGAACCUGCCCUUAGGUUCGGAAUAACUCCCCGAAAGGGGUGCUAAUACCGGAUAAUGUCUUCGGACCAAAGAUUUAUCGCCUUUGGAUGGGCCCGCGUUGGAUUAGCUAGUUGAUAGGGUAAAAGCCUACCAAGGCGACGAUCCAUAGCUGGUCUGAGAGGAUGAUCAGCAACACUGGGACUGAGACACGGCCCAGACUCUUACGGAAGGCAGCAGUGGGGAAUAUUGGACAAUGGGCGAAAGCAUAAGCCAGCAAGGCCGCGUGAGUGAUGAAGGCCUUAGGGUUGUAAAGCUCUUUUACCCGGGAUGAUAAGGACAGUACCGGGAGAAUAAGCUCCGGCUAACUCCGU